GAUGAACGCUGGCGGCGUGCCUAAUACAUGCAAGUCGAGCGAACGGACGAGAAGCUUGCUUCUCUGAUGUUAGCGGCGGACGGGUGAGUAACACGUGGAUAACCUACCUAUAAGACUGGGAUAACUUCGGGAAACCGUAGCUAAUACCGGAGAAUAUUUUGAAUCUCAUGGUUCAAAAGUGAAAGACGGUCUUGCUGUCACUUAUAGAUGGAUCCGCGCUGCAUUAGCUAGUUGGUAAGGUAACGGCUUACCAAGGCAACGAUGCAUAGCCGACCUGAGAGGGUGAUCGGCCACACUGGAACUGAGACACGGUCCAGACUCCUACGGGAGGCAGCAGUAGGGAAUCUUCCGCAAUGGGCGAAAGCCUGACGGAGCAACGCCGCGUGAGUGAUGAAGGUCUUCGGAUCGUAAACCUCUGUUAUUAGGGAAGAACAGAUGUGUAAGUAACUGUGCACAUCUUGACGGUACCUAAUCAGAAAGCCACGGCUAACUACGUG
RNAcentral lists this ribosomal RNA (497 nucleotides) under uncultured bacterium. RNAcentral describes it as "partial 16S ribosomal RNA". It matches the Rfam family "Bacterial small subunit ribosomal RNA", at positions 28 to 507 of the family's 1533-position model. The record is from RNAcentral.